AACAUUUCUAUAAUUAUUAUGUUUGUUCCAAUCCUAAGGAAGUAGUUUCCAAAACCAUCAAACUUUCUUGCUUUCCUUUUCUCUCUUCAACUCGAGAUACACUAAAUAGACAUAUCUCAAUCAGAGUCUUCUUCGAUUGUUACUAAUGUAAACCUCAUCUACUUUCCUCACAACACUACUUGGAGAUAUGCGUUGGCCUCUGUUGCAAAUGGAGAGGCAACUUCUCCAUGAGCCAUCGUUUUAAUGACGAGGAUCUCCCCAGAAGUAUUUCUAACCACCACCCCUGAGAUCGAUUUAGCUUGAGACUCAUCAAAAGCUGUAUUGAAGUUUAGUUUGAUAUCUAACCCUUCCGGGGGACACCAAUCUGUGGACUCGUUUCUCUUUUUUUUAUCAAGCCACUCGGGGAUCGAAGGAAACGUCGGAGACCAAUCACACUAUCGAAGAAACCACAUUGGUAUAGUUAAACGUUUCGUUUUGUGUAUGGCAUGUAUAGGAACUUGGUUUCUUUUAAUAUGAUAUGAUCAAUGAAUGAUGUGUAAAUACUUUCUAGUGAUUAACUAAUAGAAUGGUUGAUGAUAUACAUGUUUAA
Molecule: long non-coding RNA, 589 nt
Organism: Gossypium arboreum
Lineage: Eukaryota; Viridiplantae; Streptophyta; Magnoliopsida; Malvales; Malvaceae
Exons: 3
Source: RefSeq, a predicted model, not a curated record